GCACUGCUGAGGACUCCCACAACAGGACGAAACGGCCGUCCAGUGC
Schistosoma margrebowiei is the source of this 46-nucleotide non-coding RNA. The record is from Rfam. Lineage: Eukaryota; Metazoa; Platyhelminthes; Trematoda; Strigeidida; Schistosomatidae.